GCCCCUGUAGAGCAUUGGAUAGCGCGUUGGACUUCUAAUCCAAAUAUCGUGGGUUCGAGUCCCACCUGGGAUGGCA
Molecule: non-coding RNA, 76 nt
Organism: Trichonephila clavipes
Lineage: Eukaryota; Metazoa; Arthropoda; Arachnida; Araneae; Nephilidae
Source: the annotation of a GenBank genome assembly